AUACGGAGGGUGCGAGCGUUAUCCGGAUUUAUUAGGUUUAAAGGGUGUGUAGGCGGGAGCCUAAGUCAGUGGUGAAAUCUCGCAGCUUAACUGUGAAACUGCCAUUGAAACUGGGUUUCUUGAGUAUAGUUGAGGUAGGCGGAAUGUGUAAUGUAGCGGUGAAAUGCAUAUAUAUUACACAGAACACCGAUUGCGAAGGCAGCUUACUAAGCUAUUACUGACGCUGAUGCACGAAAGCGUGGGUAGCGAACAGGAUUAGAAACCCCAGUAGUCC
RNAcentral lists this ribosomal RNA (274 nucleotides) under uncultured bacterium. Its description in RNAcentral is "partial 16S ribosomal RNA". It matches the Rfam family "Bacterial small subunit ribosomal RNA", at positions 523 to 796 of the family's 1533-position model. The record is from RNAcentral.